AUUGAACGCUGGCGGCAUGCUUUACACAUGCAAGUCGAGCGGCAGCGCGGGGGCAACCCUGGCGGCGAGCGGCGAACGGGUGAGUAAUGCAUCGGAACGUGUCCCGUAGUGGGGGAUAACGCCGCGAAAGCGGCGCUAAUACCGCAUAUGCUCUACGGAGGAAAGGGGGGGACCCGCAAGGGCCUCCCGCUAUGGGAGCGGCCGAUGUCCGAUUAGCUUGUUGGUGAGGUAAAGGCUUACCAAGGCGACGAUCGGUAGCUGGUCUGAGAGGAUGAUCAGCCACACUGGGACUGAGACACGGCCCAGACUCCUACGGGAGGCAGCAGUGGGGAAUUUUGGACAAUGGGGGCAACCCUGAUCCAGCCAUGUCGCGUGCGGGAAGAAGGCCUUCGGGUUGUAAACCGCUUUUGUCCGGGAAGAAAAGGCAUUCCCUAAUACGGGGUGCUCUUGACGGUACUGGAAGAAUAAGCACCGGCUAACUACGUGC
This 487-nucleotide ribosomal RNA is filed under the name uncultured bacterium. Its description in RNAcentral is "bacterial SSU rRNA". It matches the Rfam family "Bacterial small subunit ribosomal RNA", at positions 28 to 508 of the family's 1533-position model. The record is from RNAcentral.